GAUGAACGCUGGCGGCAUGCCUAAAACAUGCAAGUCGAGCGGUAAGGCCCCUUCGGGGGUACACGAGCGGCGGACGGGUGAGUAACACGUGGGCAACCUGCCCCAGACUCUGGGAUAACCUCGGGAAACCGAUGCUAAUACCGGAUACGACCACUUCGGACAUCCGACGGUGGUGGAAAGUUUUUCGGUCUGGGAUGGGCCCGCGGCCUAUCAGCUAGUUGGUGGGGUAAUGGCCUACCAAGGCGACGACGGGUAGCCGGCCUGAGAGGGCGACCGGCCACACUGGAACUGAGACACGGUCCAGACUCCUACGGGAGGCAGCAGUGGGGAAUAUUGCACAAUGGGCGAAAGCCUGAUGCAGCGACGCCGCGUGAGGGAC
RNAcentral lists this ribosomal RNA (379 nucleotides) under uncultured bacterium. RNAcentral describes it as "bacterial SSU rRNA". It matches the Rfam family "Bacterial small subunit ribosomal RNA", at positions 28 to 409 of the family's 1533-position model. The record is from RNAcentral.